This 827-nucleotide long non-coding RNA is filed under the name Homo sapiens (human). Its description in RNAcentral is "HSALNT0034043". The record is from RNAcentral. Lineage: Eukaryota; Metazoa; Chordata; Mammalia; Primates; Hominidae.
GCCUGCUUCCUCAUGGGCAAACGCGGAAAGACACACCCUUAAGCAGGUCUCCCUGUUCCUGCAAGGCUGGAAGCCAUGCAGGCACUCAGAUGGUUUCCUCUCUCUUCCCCAGGCCUGGCGUAAAGGCGUGCAGGGAGGCCUAGCUCUGUCUCCCAGACUUAGAGAUUUCCCCAAGAAAUGUGUGGUUCAAACCAGGGACGCCAAGGAGUUCAAACCAGGAGACGCCAGGGCCACAAGUCUUGGGCAUGUGGCCUCCCUAGAGGCAUGUUUUCCUUCUUCGAUCUAGACUCCAUAUUUUCCACAGGAACAAACCAGGAAAUUCCUGCAGGAAAUAGUUUUUAGAAGGAAAACAGAUUUUUCACUUUUUUACAGCCCCACCCAGCUUUCAUCAAGGACAUGCAUGUAAUACAGGCUCUCAGGGGUCUCAGCUGUCAGUGGCCACAGGGUGCCCUUGAGUCUGGUUUCACUGCAGGGAUGACUGUGGAACUGCAGUGCUGGAUACUUUGAAAACCUGACAAGGUGGUGGCUGGGGGUAGGUGAGUCCACACAGUGUCACUUGGAAACAAAGAAUCUUAGCAUUGUAGGUGUUAAAAGAAAAACUUUAGCCAAAUUAAAUUUAAAAGACUUUGAGCAAAAAAUGAUUCGUGAAUCAGGCGGCCUCCUGAGCCAGAAUAGGCUCAGAGACUCCAGUGCACCCAUGUGGUGGAAGAUGAUUUAUGGACACAAAAUGAUAAGCAGUGUAUGGAAGGUGGAAGUAAGCCACAGAAACAGCCGGAUUGGUUCCAGCUCGACGUUUGCCUUAUUUGAACAUGGUUUGAACACUGGGC